AGAGUUUGAUCCUGGCUCAGGCCGAACGUUGGCGGCGUGCGUCACACAUGCAAGUCGAACGAUUGAGGGGUGGAGAGUUUACUCGGAGAAAUUUUUAGUGGCGGACGGGUGAGUAACGCGUGGGUAACCUACCCAUAAACCCGGGACAACCCUUGGAAACGAGGGCUAAUACCGGAUAAUCUUAGAUGUUGGCAUCAACGUUUAAGAAAAGGUGGCCUCUGUAUAUGCUACCGAUUAUGGAUGGACCCGCGUCUGAUUAGCUAGUUGGUGGGGUAAAGGCCUACCAAGGCGACGAUCAGUAGCCGGCCUGAGAGGGUGAACGGCCACACUGGGACUGAGACACGGCCCAGACUCCUACGGGAGGCAGCAGUGGGGAAUCUUCCGCAAUGGACGAAAGUCUGACGGAGCAACGCCGCGUGUAUGAUGAAGGUCUUCGGAUUGUAAAGUACUGUCUUUGGGGAAGAACGGUAUGCUUGAAAAUAUUGAGCGUACAUGACGGUACCCAAGGAGGAAGCCCCGGCUAACUACGUGCCAGCAGCCGCGGUAAUACGUAGGUGGCAAACGUUGUCCGGAAUUACUGGGCGUAAAGGGCGAGUAGGUGGUUUAUUAAGUCAGAAGUGAAAACUCCAGGCUCAACUUGGAGACUGCUCCUGAAACUGGUAGACUUGAGUGCAAGAGAGGGAAGUGGAAUUCCUAGUGUAGCGGUGAAAUGCGUAGAUAUUAGGAGGAACACCAGUGGCGAAGGCGACUUCCUGGCUUGUAACUGACACUGAGGCGCGAAAGCGUGGGGAUCAAACAGGAUUAGAUACCCUGGUAGUCACGCCGUAAACGAUGAGUGCUAGGUGUCGGGGGUAUCGACCCCCUCGGUGCCACAGCUAACGCAAUAAGCACUCCGCCUGGGGAGUACGGUCGCAAGACUGAAACUCAAAGGAAUUGACGGGGGCCCGCACAAGCGGUGGAGUAUGUGGUUUAAUUCGACGCAACGCGAAGAACCUUACCAAGGCUUGACAUCCUGUGACGGCUAUGGAAACAUAGACUUCUUAGUUUACUAAGACACAGAGACAGGUGGUGCAUGGUUGUCGUCAGCUCGUGUCCGUGAGGUGUCGGGUUAAGUCCCAUAACGAGCGCAACCCUUAUCGUUAGUUGCCAGCGGGUUAAGCCGGGGACUCUAGCGAGACUGCCACCGUAAGGUGAGAGGAAGGUGGGGAUGACGUCAAAUCAUCAUGCCCCUUAUGUCUUGGGCUACACACGUACUACAAUGGCCUGAACAGAGGGAAGCGAAACUGCGAAGUUAAGCGAACCCCUUAAAACAGGUCCCAGUUCGGAUUGUAGGCUGCAACUCGCCUACAUGAAGUUGGAAUCGCUAGUAAUCGCAGGUCAGCAUACUGCGGUGAAUACGUUCCCGGGCCUUGUACACACCGCCCGUCACACCACGAAAGUCGGCAACACCCGAAGCCGGUGACUCAACCCGAAAGGGAGAGAGCCGUCGAAGGUGGGGUUGGUAAUUGGGGUGAAGUCGUAACAAGGUAACCU
This 1533-nucleotide ribosomal RNA is filed under the name uncultured bacterium. RNAcentral's name for it is "bacterial SSU rRNA". It matches the Rfam family "Bacterial small subunit ribosomal RNA". The record is from RNAcentral.